This 2011-nucleotide long non-coding RNA is filed under the name Vigna radiata. RNAcentral's name for it is "long non-coding RNA (VRAD_LNC006184)". The record is from RNAcentral. Lineage: Eukaryota; Viridiplantae; Streptophyta; Magnoliopsida; Fabales; Fabaceae.
UCAAGCGCACCGUCGUGAGUCUGUGUACCGGCGCAACCGUCUUACCGGAACUCUUAGGGCCGCCGUUGCUCUUGAAGUCAUUGUUGCACCAGCGUCUGAAGCAUCUCCGCCUUCACACCGAAGGUUACUUCUUGCUUUAUCUUCCAUUGUCCUUAGUCAUACUCCGAUUUGGCCCCUGUUUUGUGAUCAAUUAUGUCUCCCAAACAGUACUCUUUGGUUCCAUGAUAAAAAUCCACAUUAAUUCAUCAUUCAAUCAAUAUUGGAAAGGUGAACGCAGUUAUAUAUACCAAAUACCUAAAUGUCGAUUAAGCCUUUCAUUAUUUGUUGCAUGUUGAAACUUUUCCUUCCAUUUUUCUCUGAUCGAACGCCAGAGGCUGAUGAAACCAAGAACUUAGUGUUAUAAUUGCACCAUCAGUUUUUAUCCAAUUGUAUUACAUCAUAAUGAAAAUCGAAGAGUAACUCAGGUAGUUAAAUUUGUAUUAAUAGGUUUGCAUUAUGCUCAUAAUCCUAGUAUUCUAAAACCUAAUUUAAGACUUGGAAUCAAAUGGCUUGUUUCUGUAUGGAGAAGACAGACUGAGGAUAAAGAAAAGUAAAUCAAUUAAAUAGGAAAUGUUCCAAUUUAAACAUAGCAGAAGUCCAAAUAUAUAUUUCAAGAGAAACCACUAAAAAGGGCUCUUUGACCGAAAUUCUCAUUGCCAAAACUCCAAAUAAAGUUAAUCUUUAGGUGAAACAUUGUGAGUUAAGUCUCAUAUGAUUGUAGGAUUCAAGAGUAAAGUCUCACUUGAAUAUAUGAUUGUAGGAUUCAAAGCUUGACAUGGUUUUCUCCGUAGGUUUAUUAGGGAAACAUUGUUUUUAUUUUAUUUUAUUUUAUUCUUACAUAUUCAUUUGUAUUUGGGCUUAACCCAUAUUUCUUCUAUUAUAAAUAGAGAACCCUAUGUGUGUAUUUAACACAAAGGAUUAAUUCCAAUAUAUAAUUUUCACUAUAUUUAACGUGGUAUUACUGCAGGUUUUCUGAUCUUUUUCUACUUUGUCUUUGUUGUCGCCGGUGGCCGCUGCCACCGACGGCCCCCUCCUAAAAGUUUCUUUUUCAACCUGUGCCUUUAUGCUUCAAUAGACAAUCUCUAGUUUAUGUCUCGCAUUUGUCCGGUGUUAGUUGUCUGCUACUGCCCGUUGCUGCUCGCCACCACCCACCACUUGCAGCUGUCCACUGUCUCCGGCCACCGUCACCAGCAGUCCGCCGUCGCCGGCCAUAGUCUCCGACAAUCCGUCGCCGCCGGCAACCGUCUCCGACAACCGUCUCCGGCAACCGUCUCCGGCCACCGUCUCUGGCUGUCAUCUCCGGCCACCGUCUUCGGCCGUCAUCUCUGCCACUUGUGCCACUGAUGCACCAACACCUAGUCCUACCUAUACUGCUUCCGCUAUCUUCUUCUUUAUUCUGAAAGGUCUUCAAGGACAGUUAAUGGUUAACACCAAGAAAUUUCAACACUAAAAUUAUGGGUUGAAACAAUUUCACCAACUCCUUUGUCAAAUCUGUCAGAUUUUUUUUUUUUGGGUGCUUUGAUGAAUAAGAGCUCAUUAUGAUCUUCCACUUUCACGGUCUGUCAUUGGCGUGCCGUCAUUUCCGCCUUUCGUCGUGAGGGGGAGUAUGUUUCCAGCUAGGUUUCAAGCUUUCAGACUCCACUAGUCAAUGAUGGCAGUCCUAGCAGUUUUGUCGCUUCUAGCCACUAUAGGCCCCAUCAAUCAGUGAUGGCAUUCCCUGUAGUUUUGUCGCUUUUAGCCACUACAGGUCCCAUCAGUCAGUGAUGGCAUUUCAUUUUUUCAGUCAGUGUUGCCUUUCAAAGAGAUUUUGAAAAUUUAUUUUAAACAAAAUUCAACACCUCAUCUUAUGUUUCUGUUUUUUAGGUUUACAUUGUAACUUUAAAUGUUGAUUAUUUGUGUAUGAUUAUUCCAUUUAAAAUUAUUGUUCUUAUUCUUAUAAAAGAAUCUCCCCCAAGAUUGUAUUAAUUGGAUG